AGUGAACGCUGGCGGCAGGCCUAAUACAUGCAAGUCGAACGGCAGCACAGCAGAGCUUGCUCUGUGGGUGGCGAGUGGCGGACGGGUGAGGAAUACAUGGGAAUCUGCCCAGUCGUGGGGGAUAACGUAGGGAAACUUACGCUAAUACCGCAUGCGCCCUUCGGGGGAAAGCCGGGGACCUUCGGGCCUGGCGCGAUUGGAUGAGCCCAUGUCGGAUUAGCUAGUUGGCGGGGUAAUGGCCCACCAAGGCGACGAUCCGUAGCUGGUCUGAGAGGAUGAUCAGCCACACUGGAACUGAGACACGGUCCAGACUCCUACGGGAGGCAGCAGUAGGGAAUAUUGGACAAUGGGCGCAAGCCUGAUCCAGCCAUGCCACGUGAGUGAAGAAGGCCCUCGGGUUGUAAAGCUCUUUUGUCCGGAAAGAAAAGCGCCGGGUUAAUACCCGUGGUGUCCUGACGGUACCGGAAGAAUAAGCACCGGCUAACUUCGUGCCAGCAGCCG
RNAcentral lists this ribosomal RNA (501 nucleotides) under uncultured bacterium. RNAcentral's name for it is "bacterial SSU rRNA". It matches the Rfam family "Bacterial small subunit ribosomal RNA", at positions 29 to 517 of the family's 1533-position model. The record is from RNAcentral.